GCUUCGUCACAAUCUCGACUUCUCGUCCUCUCGUGUUCUCGCCUCGGAAGUGCAGUUUAUAACGCAUGUCCACUGACUACCGUAUCGGCAUUUGUAUUCAGUCUGGUAUUUUCAUUCAAAGUCAAAGCCGAUGGAAGCUCUAGCGAUCAACAAAAUUCUCAAUGAUUUGGGCUUAAUCCAUCUCUUAGAUGUAUUUACUGACAAUUCCUAGCUGUUGAUCUGUCAGUGACCAGGGUUUAAGCCACCUGUGCAGAUGUCAUCAAGGUCACUUUAAGAUGUAAACAGCGUUAAUUAUAAUUAGGCUUUUAAUUAGGGCAUGUGAUUGUUGUGGAGGAUUUGUGGGGUUAGGGCUAGUAGCACUAGUUCCCUAGCAUCUCAUGUUGAAAAACUAUGAUAAAUAUGGCCCAUGAUGCUUGAUCACCUUUGAAAAGUUGUGUUGAUGCUCAAGAUCUAGAGGUUAAAGUUAAUAUCGAAUUGACUCUAAAUUUACACACAGUUUAAAGGUCAUGAGAUGAAGAAUCCUAUUGAUUUUCAACAUUUUCCAAUAGUUACUGCCAGAGUUAUGGCCCUUGAUCUCUUUAAGAUAUCUUGUUGACGGAAUAAUAUUUAUAAACUUAAUAUCAAUUGACUUUUAAAUUUAAAAUAGCAUUAUGCAAGAGAAAAAUCUGCUUAUUACAGGUCUUUCUUUAGGCCUGAAAUGUUAUCUAAAUAAUCAAUUAGACAUUAAUUAACAUAUCCAGACCAUAAUAAACUCUUUAUGUCAAGGCUAGCCUUCGAUGUUGGCGGAUUAAAUUCCUAUAUGCAGCUUAAUGGCCGUUGAUAAUUAAAUCAAUCAAGUGGAUAAUCGAGACUAUACUGUUUAUAUUAAUGAUUUGAGUAAUGAUGACCAAGGCUAUGUGAAUAUUGGAAACGCUUUUUUCUCGGCUAAUAGUUGAUCAAUUUGACUGAAAUUUUCAGCAAAUUACCUUUACACUAUCUAGUUUUUAACUAUUAUAGUGAGAACUGCCAUCUCUUUAUCUUAUCUCCCAUUAUGUAACUUUAAAGAGUGUUUUAGGCCACAAGACACAUUAGCCUAUUUCCAAUAAUUACUGCUAGAGUUAUGGCCCUUUAUCGCUUCAAAAUAUCUGGUUGACAUUCUAGAUGCUAAAGUUAAUAAACAUCUGAUUGAUUUUAGAUUUAUAUGCACUGUUUAAAUUCACGAGACACAGAAGAUUAUUGAUUUCAACAAUUACUGCCAUACUGUAGCGCGUGACCUCUUUCAAAAAUUUUGUAGACUCUUGUGGCUAAAGUUAAUAUCUGAUUGACUUUAAAUAGAGAUUACUAUCAUGAGACAAAGAAUCCUAUUCAUUUUCAAAGAUUUCUGAUAAUUACUGCCAGAUUUAAGGUGGAGUGUGGACGCUCUAGAGGCCAAAAAUCAAUUCAUGCAUUCAUUCACUCUAAAGGCCAAAGUUGAUAUAAAUUGUUUAAGGUCAUGAGACAAGAAAUCAAAACAAAUGGUUUCUGAUGAUUUAUACUUCAUGGGUUAUUACUUGUAAUCAGAUUUUCAUGUGUUGUAAAUGUUCUCAUUACUGACUAAAGAAAAAAUAUGCUUUGGGCGUAUGGUGUAUGUUUUGUUGCCUGGCAAGAGUGGCAACCUAUCUUCUAUUUUUUUUACAAAGGUUUUGUUAAAGGCACUGAGGGACCCAUGGUGGCUCGCUAACUGUCCUGUGUUUGAUCCCUACAUUGGCUGAGAAAGUUCAUUGGAAUUUUCCCGUCUGGUUCGUAGUUCCCCCUGUCAGUGAUGUAGGAUGGAGGGACAAUGCAUAGCGGUAGUCGUUCAGAUGGGAUGAAAAACAGGGAUCCUGUAUAUACAUUGGUGUGCACGGAAAUGAUCCCUUGACAGUUGGAAUUUUGUAAUAACAUACUGCAUGUCAAGCCCAUCUUCAUUUUGCCCGGUCGGAGCAAGACUGUAGGAUGUUAAACCCCAAUUUAUUUUAUUUCAUUAUAAUCCGUAUGUGUGGGCGUAUGUUUCGUUGCCUGGCAACCUAUUUUUUGAUUUAAAAAGUAUAUCACCAUUACACCCUAAUGAUGUUUGAAUUUUGUGAAAAUCGGACCAAAACUGUCAGACAAAAUGGCCGCUCUUUGUCUGCAAAUUGUGUAUAUAAGUAAUACAAAGGUUAUGGAUACCCUCUAGGAGUCACAAUUUUGAUCCGAUUUUAAUUAAGCUUAGACCAUAUCUUCAUAUAUUAAAAAAAUCUUAGUCCCUUUUGAUAUUUGUGUAUUUCAGAGCGUUACUUUUUGGAUUAUGGCCCCUGAUUGUACCAAAAUUUUUUGUUUUUUUUUAGCUUAUUCUCUUUUCAUCCCUUGCAAAGUGUGGGAGUUUCCUGCCUGGCAGCUGCUGAUUAUCCGAUUUUAACGAAACUUAAAAUAUAUCUUUAUAUCACAAAGAUGUCAGUCCCUUUUGAUAUUUGCGCAAUUCAGAUCAUAACUUUCUGGAUUAUAGCCCCUGAUCGCAUGGAAAAUCACUUUUGUUCCAGCUUGUUCUCUAACCAUCUCUUGCAAAAUGUGGGCAUAUCGUGUCUAGCAGCCGCUGGUUUUCUUAAUUAAUAUAUGUUUAUUUAACAGGUUGGCCCUCCAGAAGUUCUAACAUUAACCGAUUCAGAAUUUAAUUUCCUUGGUGUGAGUGCUAUUGGGGACCGUGCUAGGUUGAGACAGAGAUGUAGAACAUAUUUGAAUGGUCAGUGUGAAUCGCCAUCUUUAAAGAAAUUCAAAGAGCUAUCAGAAAAGAAAAAAACACAGAAUAACAACAAGUUCAAGUCCAAUCGUAGAUUAUAUACUGGGUGGAAGUUAUCUACAGGACAGAGUUUUAAACUAGUUCCACUAUCUCAAGGAGGGGGAUCUAUAAUUAUGGAUCUUCCCAAAGAGUAUUCUCUUCCAGACCUUCAAAAAAAAAUGAUUGCAACUUUCUUCCCAGAUGGUCAAGCAGUCCAUAAAAACAUAAAACUUUCACAUUGUGAAACAUUCAUCGGAAAUUUUGCUGGUGAACGUGUGCCAUCAAGACUGUUGAAUGGUGAUCUUUUUUCCCUUGAUGGAUAUUUUUCUGAGAUAAAAUCUAAUCCUGUGAGAUUAUAUUUGUAUGCAAAAACCACAACGGUUAAUCAACCACCAUCACCAUCAACUUCAACUACCACAUUAAAUCAACAAACUUCAGCUACAUUAAAUCAACCACCAUCUCCAUCAACUUCAUCUACCACAUUAAAUCAACAACCUUCAGCUACAUGUACUCAACCACCAUCAUCAUCAACUUCAUCUACCACAUUAAAUCAACAAACUUCAGCCACAUGUACUCAACCACCAUCAUCAUCAACUUCAUCUACCACAUUAAAUCAACAAACUUCAGCUACUUGUACUCAACCACAACUAGCAAUUAAUGCUGUAAAUUAUGCAACAAAUAUCAUCAAUGAUGACACAGAUGAUGAACUACCGGAUAUCUCAUUUUAUUCAGGAACACCAACUAUAACCUUCAAGAAAAGUAAAAAAGCUGAGAGCUUGGAAGAGAUUCUAGUUCGCUUGAAUAGUCAGAUAAAAAAUGAGAAAAACAUCAUCAAUGUAAGCCGAGGUGAUGUUUUGUCUGGAACAAGGAGAGCGUUUUCCAGAAAAACCUUCAGGCCCGAAUUCGGUUAAAGAGUCAAAUUUUCAGGGGAAAAUGGUAUCGAUGAUGGGGGACCAUCCAGAGAACUUUUACAACUUCUAAUGAGCUCUAUAAAAGAUUCACAAGUGUUUCAAGGGUCAGAGUGUAAAAUGCUCUGUCCUGAUAUCCCCAGUGAAGAAAGAGAUGAUUACAGACUGUUUGGAAAAAUCAUAUCAUAUUCAGUAAUUCACCAAGGUCCAGUGUCAAGAUUCUUUUCUGGAAUCCUUUAUGAUCUGAUAGCUUUUGGCUCUUGUGAACCAAAAUUGGAUGACAUAGUAGAUUAUCAAAUCAGAGAACAAAUUAAAGAGUUGUCAAGGGCAGAUGAUGUAAUAAUGUUACAAGAGGCUGCUCAGCCUCUUAUUGGCCAUAUAGACUUUUUAGGAGCUAUACCUCUUAUAUUCGAUGUAAAAAAUAAAGAAAGUCUAGUCACAUUAUUAACACGGUAUUUUGUUGUGGACAGGGUAAAAGGAGUACUGAAUCAGUUCUGUGAAGGGAUGGAUUCUUUAGGUUUGAGAAAGGAAAUAAUUAAAAAUCCAGAAGUCAUGAGAGAACUUUUUGUUUUCUCGUAUGAAAAAUUGUCGUCCAUUAAUAUUGAUCACCUGUUUACUCCGGUUUUUAGCGAAAACAGCUUUUCGCUUGAACAGGAAUUAAACAGCCAUGCUCAUUGGAGAGAUUUUCUUCUGGAUCUUGAAGAAACAGAUGAACUGGGUAGUUUGUUAUCUUUUGUGACUGGUUUAAAGGACAUACCUCCACUGGGAUUCAACCCACCACUAAAGCUACUGUUUAGACACCCAUCUUUUGAAUGGGACAUUGCCCCGUUUGCAAAUACUUGUGCUAAUACCCUUAACAUUCCAGUGUUAAAAGAUUAUGAUGCAUUCAAAACUGCAAUGGCCAUGUCUUUAAGAAUUGGCAAUAUUUUUACUGACGCUUAAAAUAUUAACUUGCCUUUUUCUGUUUUACCCAGUCAGUUUGAAAGUUUUUAAGAUAGUUAUAUUUAAAAACACUUUUUGGUCAUACAACGUAGUCUGUUUUAUCCAAUCAAUUUGAUAGUUUUUAAGAUAGUUAAUUUAAAAUUGCCCUUUUUGUGAUACAACUUAAAUCUGUUUUAUCCAAUCAGUUUGAUAGUUCUUAAGAUAGUUAUAUUUAAAAACGCUUUUUUGUGAUACAACUUAGU
Molecule: RNA transcript, 4844 nt
Organism: Patella vulgata (common limpet)
Lineage: Eukaryota; Metazoa; Mollusca; Gastropoda; Patellidae
Exons: 10
Source: RefSeq, a predicted model, not a curated record